UGGGUGUCUAGUAUUUUGGUCAGGGGGUUGGAGGUAGACAUGUUUCCUAUAGAGAGUCGAAAGUUUCUAGUUAGAUUUUGUAAUCAGACUUAAUCAAUUUGUUUAGAGAUUUCAUUUUUAAACAAAUUAGGCUCCCACUAUUUUCGUAGAUCCCUACACUUCCUUGGUAGAGAUGUGAAAAUCUCCAUGAUCAGUGAUUUCUAGUGGGUGG
RNAcentral lists this long non-coding RNA (211 nucleotides) under Elaeis guineensis (African oil palm). RNAcentral describes it as "long non-coding RNA (EGUI_LNC069940)". The record is from RNAcentral. Lineage: Eukaryota; Viridiplantae; Streptophyta; Magnoliopsida; Arecales; Arecaceae.